Molecule: ribosomal RNA, 508 nt
Filed under: uncultured bacterium
Lineage: Bacteria
Description: partial 16S ribosomal RNA
Rfam family: Bacterial small subunit ribosomal RNA
Source: RNAcentral
GACGAACGCUGGCGGCACGCUUAACACAUGCAAGUCGAGCGAGAACCAGGGCUUCGGCCCUGGGGACAGCGGCGAACGGGUGAGUAGCACGUGGAUAACCUGCCCUCGGCACCGGGAUAGCCCGGGGAAACCCGGAUUAAUACCGGAUGGCCCUUCCGGCUCACGAGCCGGUCGGAAAAGGUAGCUUCGGCCUCCGGCCGAGGCUGGGUCCGCGGCGGAUUAGCUUGUUGGUGGGGUAACGGCCCACCAAGGCUCCGAUCCGUAGCUGGUCUGAGAGGACGAUCAGCCACACUGGGACUGAGACACGGCCCAGACUCCUACGGGAGGCAGCAGUGGGGAAUCUUGCGCAAUGGGCGAAAGCCUGACGCAGCGACGCCGCAUGAGGGAGGAAGGCCUUCGGGUUGUAAACCUCUUUCAGGAGGGACGAAGCUACUCGGGUGAAUAGCCCAGAGGGUGACGGUACCUCCAGAAGAAGCCCCGGCUAACUACGUGCCAGCCGCCGCCGUAA